UAUUGCCCCGCCUAUUUCCGCAUUUACAGAAACGGGUUUGAUAGCUGCAAGCGAGGAGAGGAGCAUAAUGUUAUUAUUUUAUAUUAACACAUAGUUGUGAUUGUGUAUUCAUCAGUGAGGUUAUCUUAAUUAGUAUUUGCAAAGUCUGUUUGCUGACCAAGCUGAAAUAGUAGAAAUUCUGCGCUCGACUGCAGCACUUUUGCCAUGGAAUAUGAAUAGCUAUGAACUCCGUUUCUAUAAACUCACCUUUCACUCAAGUGACACUCGACUCAUUUUGCAAGUCUGUGGUAAUUAGAUCAAAGUGAGUAGCCUGGGGAAAUGAAACCACCACCAGGCAUGACCGUGGAGAAACCAGCCGCAGGUGUUCGCACCUUCGGCGGCCUGAACAUCCUAGGGCACCUGGCGAGUCUGGGGGCUCACCCCGCCGCCGUGGCUUACUCCAUGACCACCCUGGGAGCAGGCAUGAUGAACAGCAUAUUCAGCUUCUACUAUGUCAAGCUGUUCCUCAACAAGUACAAGAUAUCAGAAGGAGCUUUCCAUCAGUCACAAGUGGUGUACAUGGUGUGGAAUGCAGUGAACGACCCUCUGUUCGGCUACCUGCAGGAUAACUCCCGCGUACCGUGCUGCUCUCAACGUCGUCUCUCCAUCCUGUAUGGUGCUCCCUUCUACGCAAUCGCCUUUCUGCUCGCCUGGUUUCCAUGGCGAGAGUACGCCCCCGGCGACUGGAUGAGCGGCGUCCACCUGAUGGUGGCGUUGUGUGCGUUCGACGGGAUGCUGACGUUUGUGUUGCUGGCGCAGUGCGCCCUCUUUGCAGAGAUUUCAGGCCACCACCAGAGCAGGCUGAGACUCAUCAAAUACAACCAGGUGGCAUCACUUAUAGGUUCUUCCAGUGUUCUAUUCUGCGGCCUCCUCUCCCAGAACAUGGAUGACUUCCCAUCCUUCCAGUGCUUCACUGUCCUGGUGGCCGUUCUGGCUUGUGGCUGCAUGAUCUACACAGGCCUACACAGCGAGAGCCGCUUUGACACCAAAGGGUCAGCACCGAGGUCAAACUACCAAGGUUCUGGCCAAUCAACUCUUUCCUUCUCCUUGGUGAUCUCUAUGACCUUGCAGAUCCUGACCAAUAGGGACUUCCAGCUCUUUGUGCUCAUGAACUUUUUUCAGGUCUUCAUGGUGGCAUUCUGUAAUAACUUCACUAUGAUCUUCGCCGAGCAUCUGAUACCCCCCAAUGUGCUUCCGUCACUGGCCAAGAGCUUCAUGUAUGGAGCAGGCUUCAUCUGUCCUCAGUUGGUUGUGCUGAGCAGUCAGAGCCUGCUCCACAGCCUAGGCUACUACAAGAUCAUCCUGCUCACCUUCUACGUGGAGGCUGGCAUGGCUGCCGUCAUGCUGGUGCUGGGGCCACAUCACUACUACAUCCUGGCAUUCUUCCUGACCGCUAACAUGGUCCUUGUCCAGGCAGCCUUCAGUCUGUUUAACCUGCCUCUGGCUGACAUUAUCGACUCAGACCUUCAGAGACACAAGCGCAGCUCCCCCCUCUCCUCCAUGGUGUUUGGGACCAAUGCUCUGUUCACUAAACCAGCCCAGUCUCUGGCUCCUAUGCUGGUGGUCUCCUCCUAAACCAGUUUGGCUAUGAGAACCUGAAGGACGCUGGGAGGGAUGCAAACCCCAGUGACUUGGAGGCCCUCCACACCACCAUGUUCUACCUGGUGUGUGUGGUGCCCAUGUGUAUCGCCGCCCUGCAAGUCUUCGCCUGGAAGCCCUUCUCAAUACGCAACAGUCACACCGUGGACACCAUGUAUAUCGACGGCUGAGUCACUCAAUUUAUGCUGUUUAUGAGUCACUGUCUAUGCUGUCUUUUAAGACUUGAUAGGUUGCUGCAGCACUCCUAAAGGGAACAUGGGGGUGUAAUGGCCGGAGGGUACUGCAGAAGAAAACACUCCAUCUGUAUGUGUUUGUUAUGUUUGUCGGUGAACUUGUCUGGUGGUGAUGAAGGGAAUGGUACUGACCUUAACUCUGGUAGCAGGAGCACAGUGCCUGAGUCUGCUAUUACUCUAUGCAAUAAUAUUAUGUUAGUUACUGUGGAAACUGUAUGACUUAACCAAGUUUGAGGGAUAUUGUAGCAUCAGAUUACUUUCACAUAGUUUAUUAGUUUUCAGACUUUGUUCUCCAAACAAAUUGAAUGUAAAAACAGAUAUUUUCUUUGACAUUGUGUAUACUACAUACUGUUAUCAUGGGACCUGAACCAUUGUGAUAUUGUGCCUUUGUCUAAAUAGUUAAUACCAAACAAAUAUGCUAUUACUUUUCAUUCAAAUGAUUUGCAUUCAUUUGUUGUGGAAUGUUUCCUACGUGUCCUUUUACACUGAUCCCAUUUAAAAACAAUACGCCUUCAUUCAAAUAACUUGCACGUGUUAUUUACGUUGACUUUUCAAAAUGAAACAUGGACAAAACCAAUUGGAUAUUCAAAUAGGUGAACUUCAGAUUCAGUAGAGGGACUUCUGUUUUUCUUUCUAAUUAAUUUGAAGUUUAUCAAUAAAUCGAGAUUGUUUUUG
This is an RNA transcript of Oncorhynchus gorbuscha (pink salmon), 2546 nucleotides long. It is a transcript of the gene named transmembrane protein 180-like, with no coding region annotated. The transcript has 8 exons. Lineage: Eukaryota; Metazoa; Chordata; Actinopteri; Salmoniformes; Salmonidae. The record is from RefSeq and is a predicted model, not a curated record.